AUUGCCACCGGGCUGUUUACUAAGUGAUUCAAGUAUUUUUAAACCCUUCUUACAGAGCCACUUUCUUUCCUCAUAUAGCCGGUUGCCAAAUUCUUGUUAUAUAUUUCAGUUGUAACUUCUGUUUCUGGUGUGGUGUUCUAUUUAGUUUAAUGGCACCUGUGUUUGACAGCUUGUUGACAUCUUUAGGACAUGAUGACAAGUUUUCUCCAUUGAGAGGCCUCCAAUAUCUGUAAUCUAAACUGCAGGCCCUGCAAGGAUUGCAGGUGUCAAUCAAAUCCUAAUCACUUCAAUAGUGAUCACAGCUUUUUACAAUACUACUCUGUUGUUGCAGACAGACGGUAUGAUGGAAUGAAAGGGUCACUAGUUACUGCCAGAGAGUUGAUUAACACACCUGAAACUUGGAAGGACUUGCAACAACCCCCAAAAAAGGAAAGAGAACAAUGAGUGGGAGGAGAAGAAAAAGAAAGCCAGGAAAACAAGAAAAAUGACAAACUGAUGAGUUAGAAAACAAUGAAAAAUACAUGAGGGCUAGAAAGCGCUGGAGCUAAUUUGUCGUAUUGGAAACUCUUCGGCCUGGUCUACACUAUGGGGUUAGGUCAAAUUUAGCUGCGUCAGGUCGAUUUAAAAAUGACUGCGUCCAUACAACCAAGCCCAUUCCAUCGACCUAAAGUGUUCUUACAAUCGACUUCUGUACUCUUCCUCCAUGAGGGGAGUAGUGCUAAAAUCAACCUUGCUGGGUUGAAUUUGGGGUAGUGCAGACACAAAUUGACAGUAUGGGCAUCCGGGAGCUAGCCCAGAAUGCUCCAUUAUGACCACUUUGGCCAGCACUUUGAACUCCGAUGCACUAGCCAGGUACACAGGAUAAGCCCUGGGAACUUUUGAAUUUCAUUUCCUGUUUGGUCAGCGUGGCAAACUCAGCAGCACAGGUGACCAUGCAGCGCCCCCAGAGAGGAGGAUUUUGUGGAUGAGAAAGAGGAGGAGGAGGAGAACGCACAGCAGGCAAGAGGUGAAUCCAUUCUCCCCAACAGCCAGGACCUUUUCAUCACCUUGGAGCCAAUACCCUCCCAAGGGAAGAUCCCCGACCUUGAAGCCGGAGAAGGCACCUUUGUGCAAAUGUUUCUAUGCUCCCCCUAUCAUCUCUGUCCCUGAGGUUAUCGCAGAUUAGAAGGCAACACAUUCGCGAUGACGUGUUUUCCAAGCUCAUGCAGUCCUCCCGCACUGAUAGAGAACAGCUUAAUGCAUGGAGGCAUUCAGUGGCAGAGGCCAGGAAAGAAUUAAGUGAGCACUAAGAGUGGAGGCAAGACGCAAUGCUGAGGCUAAUGGGGGAGCAAACGGAUAUGAUGAAACAUCUGUUGGAGCUGCAGAAAAGCCAGCAAGAGCACAGACCCCAACUGCAUCCACUAUAUCACCGCAUGGCCUCCUCCCCAAGUUCCAUAUCUGGCUCACACAGAUGCCCAAGAACGCGGGGAGGGAGGCUCCAGGCACUCAGCCACUCCACUCAGAGGAUGCCCCAAGCAACAGAAGGUUGUCAUUCAAACAGUUUGAUUUUUAGUGUGGCUACAAUAAACAAUGUGGUCUUGUCCUUC
This is a long non-coding RNA of Gopherus flavomarginatus (Mexican gopher tortoise), 1586 nucleotides long. RefSeq lists it as uncharacterized. The transcript has 2 exons. The record is from RefSeq and is a predicted model, not a curated record. Lineage: Eukaryota; Metazoa; Chordata; Testudines; Testudinidae.